Perognathus longimembris pacificus (Pacific pocket mouse) is the source of this 498-nucleotide long non-coding RNA. RefSeq lists it as uncharacterized. The record is from RefSeq and is a predicted model, not a curated record. NCBI's taxonomy places the organism in Eukaryota, Metazoa, Chordata, Mammalia, Rodentia, Heteromyidae. The transcript has 3 exons.
CUUUCAACUCGCAGGUGCCUGGGACUUCGGGGUACUGAUAGGUUGCCGGGGAAGUUGUUCGAUGUUGCUCCUUGCAGGGGCGGGACUGGGACGUAGUGGGCUGGCUUUCCGGUGCAUUGUACCCUGGGGGUGCGCGGCUUAGAGGUUGCCACUUAGCAAGAGGGAAGUUGCAGCUAGUAGGCUGGCCCGUGGCUCAUUUUAUUCUGUGGGUUGGGCCUCAGUGUGGUCUGUGGAGACUGCGGCCUGCCCGCCAGUGGGAGUGCGCCGCGCGGCGAGCGAGGCUGAGGCCACGCGGAAAGCCAGCAAAGGCUUCGCAGGCUUUGAGAAAUGUGGUCCUGGAAACCUUCAAGCCAGUUCUGCUCUGACGUGACCAAACAGCACUGUAGCAGUGAGAAGGAGACUGCUGAGCCUAGAACCCCAUAGGACAACCUGAAAUGCAUCUGCUCGGUGAGUGGUGCAGGCCUGGAAAAACCCAGAAUGAGGGACUCCACUGGAGAG